GACGAACGCUGGCGGCGUGCCUAAUACAUGCAAGUAGAACGCACAGUUUAUACCGUAGCUUGCUACACCAUAGACUGUGAGUUGCGAACGGGUGAGUAACGCGUAGGUAACCUGCCUGGUAGCGGGGGAUAACUAUUGGAAACGAUAGCUAAUACCGCAUAAUAUUAAUUAUUGCAUGAUAAUUAAUUGAAAGGUGCAAUUGCACCACUACCAGAUGGACCUGCGUUGUAUUAGCUAGUAGGUGAGGUAACGGCUCACCUAGGCGACGAUACAUAGCCGACCUGAGAGGGUGAUCGGCCACACUGGGACUGAGACACGGCCCAGACUCCUACGGGAGGCAGCAGUAGGGAAUCUUCGGCAAUGGACGAAAGUCUGACCGAGCAACGCCGCGUGAGUGAAGAAGGUUGUCGGAUCGUAAAGCUCUGUUGUAGGAGAAGAACGGGUGUGAGAGUGGAAAGUUCACACUGUGACGGUAUCUUAACAGAAAGGGACGGCUAACUACGUG
RNAcentral lists this ribosomal RNA (505 nucleotides) under uncultured bacterium. Its description in RNAcentral is "partial 16S ribosomal RNA". It matches the Rfam family "Bacterial small subunit ribosomal RNA", at positions 28 to 507 of the family's 1533-position model. The record is from RNAcentral.